CCUACGGGCGGCAGCAGUGAGGAAUAUUGGUCAAUGGACGCAAGUCUGAACCAGCCAUGCCGCGUGCAGGAUGACGGCUCUAUGAGUUGUAAACUGCUUUUGUACGAGGGUAAACGCAGAUACGCGUAUCUGUCUGAAAGUAUCGUACGAAUAAGGAUCGGCUAACUCCGUGCCAGCAGCCGCGGUAAUAAGGAGGAUUCAAGCGUUAUCCGGAUUUAUUGGGGUUAAAGGGUGCGUAGGCGGUCGGAUAAGUUAGAGGUGAAAUCUCGAGGCUCAACUUCGGAAUUGCCUCUGAUACUGUUCGGCUAGAGAGUAGUUGCGGUAGGCGGAAUGUAUGGUGUAGCGGUGAAAUGCUUAGAGAUCAUACAGAACACCGAUUGCGAAGGCAGCUUACCAAGCUACUUCUGACGUUGAGGCACGAAAGCGUGGGGAGCGAACAGGAUUAGAUACCCCAGUAGUC
RNAcentral lists this ribosomal RNA (460 nucleotides) under uncultured bacterium. RNAcentral describes it as "partial 16S ribosomal RNA". It matches the Rfam family "Bacterial small subunit ribosomal RNA", at positions 338 to 795 of the family's 1533-position model. The record is from RNAcentral.